UACGAAGGGGGCUAGCGUUGCUCGGAAUCACUGGGCGUAAAGCGCACGUAGGCGGAUCUUUAAGUCGGGGGUGAAAUCCUGGAGCUCAACUCCAGAACUGCCUUUGAUACUGGCGAUCUUGAGUCCGGGAGAGGUGAGUGGAACUCCGAGUGUAGAGGUGAAAUUCGUAGAUAUUCGCAAGAACACCAGUGGCGAAGGCGGCUCACUGGCCCGAUACUGACGCUGAGGUGCGAAAGCGUGGGGAGCAAACAGG
Molecule: ribosomal RNA, 253 nt
Filed under: uncultured bacterium
Lineage: Bacteria
Description: partial 16S ribosomal RNA
Rfam family: Bacterial small subunit ribosomal RNA
Source: RNAcentral